UGGACCGCUUGCAGACAAUUGAGAGGAAAAACAGGAUCUGGUAAUGCCUCAGCAACAGAGGAUGAGUGAUUCAUUGGGUUGACCCCCAGUAGACACAGCGGAACCGGUGACUCAGUAACGAUAAUGACAUACUGCUUUGGGUUGACCCAAAGUAAACGCAACGACUCCGUGAUCGAAACUGGUGCGAUUCACGUGUUGGGUGAUAUCUAAGGAGUUGACGAUUGAAUUGGAGAAUACACAGAUAUUUUUAACGAGUUGCUACUGCAGAGCUCUCAAUAAG
This 280-nucleotide long non-coding RNA is filed under the name Elaeis guineensis (African oil palm). RNAcentral's name for it is "long non-coding RNA (EGUI_LNC081727)". Lineage: Eukaryota; Viridiplantae; Streptophyta; Magnoliopsida; Arecales; Arecaceae. The record is from RNAcentral.